Tachysurus fulvidraco (yellow catfish) is the source of this 4583-nucleotide long non-coding RNA. RefSeq lists it as uncharacterized. The record is from RefSeq and is a predicted model, not a curated record. The transcript has 4 exons. NCBI's taxonomy places the organism in Eukaryota, Metazoa, Chordata, Actinopteri, Siluriformes, Bagridae.
CAUAUCUAUGAUGUCAAGUAGCUUUACUGUCAUCGCAAGCUGGUACACAGUGAAACAAAAAACAUUAAUUCUGGACCAUUGUACUACAUAAAACUACACAGUGAAGGACAGUGCAGCACAAACAGUACACAGUUCAAGUAAAGAAUAUUUUAUUGUCAUUUUAACCACAUUUAGCUAACACAGUAUAUAGUGAAAUGAACAAUGUGUUUUAAAGUAAGUUAUUAAGUAAGUAUGUAAGUCAUAAAAUGCGUCAUGUGCAUCCUAGUCCAAACAGUGCGAGACAGAAGACAGUGCAGACAGACAAUACAGAACACAAAAUAGUGCAGACCAGUAUACCUACUGUAACUGAGCAUUUGUGCAAAAUAAGAGUAUUGUAAACAAUAAGAUAACAUACACAUAUAUAAUAUUAGCAGCUGGUGGUAGCAUCGAAUUGAUGUGUGCAAAAGAGCAUGUAAAUAGUGCUAUAUGAGUGGUGUUGUAAAAUGGAUGCAUAUCGAAUGUGUGUGUGUGUGUGUGUGUGUGGGGUUGUGUGUAUCAGUUCAGAAUAGUUCAGUUUAGGGUGUUGAAGAGUCUGAUGGAUUGAGAAAAGAAACUGUUACACUGUCUGGUUAUGAGGCUGGAAUGAUUCUGAACCUUUUUCCGGAUGGCAGCAGGGUAAAGAGUGUGUGUAUGUCAGUAAAGUAUUCUUUAAUUCAGGUGCAUGAAGGCCAGAUGAAGGGUUGUGGCAAUGGCAUGGUCUGUGGAGCGGUUUGGACUACAGUAUAUGCAAACUGCACCGGAUCCAGUGAAAGUGGAAGCAGGGUCUUGAUGUGCCUUAUGACAAAAGUCUCGAAGCACAUUUCAAUGGGUGUGAGUAUGAUGGGAUAUUAGUCUUUGAGGCAGGACACUGUAGACUUCUUUGACACAGGGAAAAUGGUUGUGGACUUUAGGUAUGUAUGGUAACAAUGGUGCUGCUCAGGGAAAUGUCAGGAAGGUCAAAUGCUGGCUGCACAUUCCCUGAGCACUCUGCCAGGAAUGUUGUCUGGAACAGCUGACUUCUGUCAAUUAACUCUGCAUAGAGUUGUUUUCACAUCAGUUGUGGUUAUACAGAGCACCUGGUCAUUGGGAGGAGGCAUGGUCUUCCUCACCCCCACAUUGUUCUGCACCUAUGCUCUGAAGGCGGAGUCUCUUUACUUCAAAAGCUCAUGCACUUUUGCAGUCAUCCACAGCUCCUGUUUGAAGCAUGUGGUGGUCUUGGAGACUGUCAUGUCAUGGAUGCCGAUGUAGCUGGUCACUGAUCUUCAAAUUGGUGGAAUCUUUGUUGGUUGCAGCCUCACCGACUACGACCACUGAUAUUUACAAACUUAAUGACGGAUGAGAAGGAACUAGAUUCAAGCGGAGAGUUCUUGCACCAAUCCUUGUUGAUGUGAAAACACAAGCCACCGCUGUGAGCCUUAGUGCACAAUUCUUUUGGCAUGAAAUGAGGUGAGCCCAUCUUUUAGUGUGGAAUAAAGUACAAGAGUAUUACAAUAAAAUCAUAAAUGCUGUAAAUUGGGGAGCAAAGUUGUUUAGUGGUUAGCAAAAAUGCUACAGAAAAUAGAUGAAUGCUGUAAAUGUAAACAUUCCAUAAGUAUUCAUAGUAAAAAUGUAUAGUAUUUGGUUUAAGCAGCAAUUUAGGAAAAACAUUUUCAAAAUCUAAAAAAUUACAAGAGAACUUGAACAGUGUUGGAGUCAGACUAGACUUUUACUAGAUACUUAUGGACAGUAUUAUGGAGUCUGAGGGCUUGGUAAAAGAAACUUACACAGUCUGAUUGUGAAAACCUAAAUGGUUCGGUACCUUUUCCAGGGUUUGUAUGAAUAACCUGUUGGGGGUGUUUUUGAGUGAGACUCAGUCAGUGGAGGAAGAGAUACAAGGUACUUCUUUUUCUGCAUUGUGUAAUCUGAUGUCAGGUGUUACAGAAAAGCCCCAUACAUCUUGAGGUAUGUGGCUGGAUAGAUCAGUCACUGAAGGUGAUCCAGAAACACCUUAAAUCAUCAUAGAGUAGAUGAGAGACUAUACAGGAUAGUUUUCAUCUUACCUCUCAUCCACAUCUCAGUCACUGCCUCCACACUGUCCCGUUCCAUCCCCACCAGAGAGCUGACCUUCCUCAUCAGAUUGCCCAGUUUGGUGGCAACACCAUUCCCAAUGCCAACCCAAGCAUUCAAUAGAAAAAGAAAAUAAUAAUUUAUCAAGUAAAAAUCUCAUUUAAAUGUAUUUUAUGAUGGACUGAUUAACAAUUUGCAUAAGCUCUUUGCAUAGAUGCGUCAUUGCACUGGUCAUGUCUGCUGCGACAAGAUAACUUUAGACACAAAGUUAUUAAUGAAAACCUCUUAAUGAAAUUUAUGUCAUGGACAAUCGUGCACCUGAACUACCAUAGACUUUCCUUCUGCCUCAUGAAUACAUGCCAAUUUUAAAAGUUCAAUGAUGGAGAUCCGAUUGCAAGACCUACCUGUCAACAGAAGCUCAAAGGCAUGUAAAUAUGCACAAGUAGUUUGCUUGUGGAAGAAAAACAGCCUGCUCAGUCAGACAGCUCUCAGAAGAACAGUGAGGUGUGUUAGUGCUGCAAGACUGAUCAUCUACCUCCUUCAGAUUUUAGUGAAUCCUCCAGCAACACAUAAGCAAUGAAGCAUCAUCUUUUUGUGCUCCUGCUUUUCAAAGGAGUCCUUACCCUUGUCCUGUCUUUCUCUCGUAAGUACUAUCUGAUCCAGCAGAGCAAAACAUGGAACGAUGCUAAGGCUUUCUGCCGAGCCACAUACACUGACCUGGCUAUCAUCAAAACUAAUGAAGAGAUCGCUCAAAUUCAGAACGUAUCACAGACACAAAAAUUCGGAUCCAAUGCUUGGAUUGGACUGUACACUAACAUCAACAAGUGGCAAUGGACAUUGGACAAUGAGCCACUUGGAAGCUUUAAACCUUGGGCUAAUGGGGAGCCUAAUAACUUGCUAGGAGAUGAAACUUGUGUCAGUAUUAUCCAUAUGGUAUGGGUUGAUGUACCAUGUGGAUGGCUGACACCAUUGGUGUGCUUUGAUGGUGAGGAAGAACAUGUUAUUUUAUAUGAACUAUUUAUGGAAUAUUUCUAAUAAUACACUUUAGUAAUAUGAGUAUUUUAUUUUUGAGUUUAAAAUCUCAGUGAAUUAUAUAUAUGCUAAAGUGUGUCAGGCUUGAAAAUUUGUGUGGGGAAGGAGGCCAGAGGAGGCAGGCUUUGGAUAGAGAAAUAAUAAUACGACAGACAUGUUUAUUUUUAUCCUGAUGAUUAUCUUUCAAUAGUAGAAGAUGAUAUGCUUAGAUUGAAUAUUUACAUAAGGAGGUUUUAAUCUUGUGUUUGUUGGUUAUCACAGACAGGAAGACUGGAGCUGACAGGUACAUUCUUAUUAUUCAGUCUAUGACAUGGUAUGAUGCUCGGAGCUACUGUAGGCUGCAUCAUACAGACCUGACCAGUGUGAGAAACCCAACAGAACACUCAAUUGUUGCGGCAUUAAACAAUGGGUUCACUUGGAUUGGCCUUGUGAGAGACCCCUGGUAUUGGACAGACCAGACCACCAACGUGUCCGUCAUUAAGUGGUCGCCUGGAAACGCUGAUGAUUAUCUGAUGAAUAAAAGUUGUGUCUAUUUAAAUGGUGGUCAAGCUAAUGUAGAACAGUGCUCAAACAUGAUGCCUUUCUUCUGUUGCUGUAAGUUGAAAUUAAAUUCAGUCUCAUGUUAAUGUAAUUUAAGUUGAUUUUUGAAUGUGGUGUUAAUUUUCUAUAUUUGUUUCUGUUUCUGCCUCCAGUAUUCCCAACACAGAAGAUCAUAAGAAUGAAGUUGAAGUCCAGUCAGGAUGUGAAUGAUCCUACAAUAAUGACAGCUAUCGAGGAGAAGCUGAAGCAGAAACUGAAGGAUUAUGGAAUGGCUGAGAACAUCACUGUGACAUGGAGAAAGCAACCAGAUGGAGUGGUGUUUCACAAGGAGGAGGAAAACAUUACUGCAGUGACUAACACUAGGGAGACUUGUGAUCUCUAAAUCUCAUAUAGUGUAAAUUCUGUAGUGCACUGAUUACUUUUAGUUUGAGGACACAUAGUGUGUAAUAUUUUAGAGUUGUUAAGUAGUACUUUUACUAGUAAAAGAUCCCUGAGUUACUAAUGUCUGUAAAUGCUGUCACAAAUACAUGAGCAUGUAUGCUAAAUCGUUGCUUGUAUCAGUACGGGAUUUUUUCACUUCUGCUUGUAAGACAGUUGGUUUAGAUUUGAUUUUAUUAACUGUUUCUUCUUUCUUUAGAUUUCAAUCUGACACUGAAUGUUAUGUUGUAUUAUAGUACAUUCAUUCAUUGUACAUAAACCAACAGCCCUCUAUAUGAUCUAGAAUAUUUAUUUAGUUUUACUGAGUCUGAUUGUCCUGAGAACAUCGGACAGAUACAAAAACUCUGAUAGACUUUACUACUUUAGUGCAUUUUUAUUCCCUUUCACUGAAAAUAUGGAUGAAGAACUAAUCAGAUUGACUUGUCAGCUUUUGCUAAGAAUGUUAACUAUUUAAAAUAAAAAGAUUCUGCACAGAACUUAAAGAAAGAAAAACUGAAAUCUAACUAAUU